CCUUUGUACACACCGCCCGUCGCUACUACCGAUUGAAUGGCUUAGUGAGGUCUCCGGAUUGGCUUUGGGGAGCCGGCGACGGCACCUUAUUGCUGAGAAGCUGAUCAAACUUGGUCAUUUAGAGG
RNAcentral lists this ribosomal RNA (125 nucleotides) under Entolomataceae sp. RNAcentral's name for it is "partial small subunit ribosomal RNA". It matches the Rfam family "Eukaryotic small subunit ribosomal RNA", at positions 1657 to 1779 of the family's 1831-position model. Lineage: Eukaryota; Fungi; Basidiomycota; Agaricomycetes; Agaricales; Entolomataceae. The record is from RNAcentral.